GACGAGCGCUGGCGGCGUGCUUAACACAUGCAAGUCGAGCGAUGAAGUUUUUUCGGAAAUGGAUUAGCGGCGAACGGGUGAGGAACACGUGAAGAAUCUGCCCUCCACUUUGGGAUAACACAGGGAAACCUGUGCUAAUACCGAAUAUUGAAACAUAAGUGGCAUCACUGAGUUUUGAAAGAAUUUCGGUGGAGGAUGACUUCGCGGCCUAUCAGCUAGUUGGUGAGGUAAUGGCUCACCAAGGCAACGACGGGUAGCCGGCCGGAGAGGGCGACCGGCCACACUGGGACUGAAACACGGCCCAGACUCCUACGGGAGGCAGCAGUGGGGAAUAUUGGGCAAUGGAGGAAACUCUGACCCAGCGACGCCGCGUGCGGGAUGAAGGCCUUCGGGUUGUAAACCGCUUUCAGUAGGGAAGAAGCGAAAGUGACGGUACCUACAAAAGAAGCACCGGCUAACUAUGUGCCAGCAGCCGCAGUAA
This 481-nucleotide ribosomal RNA is filed under the name uncultured bacterium. RNAcentral's name for it is "partial 16S ribosomal RNA". It matches the Rfam family "Bacterial small subunit ribosomal RNA", at positions 28 to 523 of the family's 1533-position model. The record is from RNAcentral.